RNAcentral lists this ribosomal RNA (275 nucleotides) under uncultured bacterium. RNAcentral's name for it is "partial 16S ribosomal RNA". It matches the Rfam family "Bacterial small subunit ribosomal RNA", at positions 79 to 353 of the family's 1533-position model. The record is from RNAcentral.
CUAAGUUUGAUGGCGACCGGCGCACGGGUGAGUAACACGUAUCCAACCUGCCGAUGACUCGGGGAUAGCCUUUCGAAAGAAAGAUUAAUACCCGAUGGCAUAGUUCUUCCGCAUGGUAGAACUAUUAAAGAAUUUCGGUCAUCGAUGGGGAUGCGUUCCAUUAGGUUGUUGGCGGGGUAACGGCCCACCAAGCCUUCGAUGGAUAGGGGUUCUGAGAGGAAGGUCCCCCACAUUGGAACUGAGACGCGGUCCAAACUCCUACGGGAGGCAGCAUG